GGCCAGUUAGCUCAGUUGGUUAGAGUGUGGUGCUGAUAACACUAUGGUCCUGAGUUCAAUCCUUGUACUGGCCA
Galeopterus variegatus (Sunda flying lemur) is the source of this 74-nucleotide non-coding RNA. Lineage: Eukaryota; Metazoa; Chordata; Mammalia; Dermoptera; Cynocephalidae. The record is from the annotation of a RefSeq genome assembly.